Molecule: ribosomal RNA, 771 nt
Filed under: uncultured bacterium
Lineage: Bacteria
Description: bacterial SSU rRNA
Rfam family: Bacterial small subunit ribosomal RNA
Source: RNAcentral
GGGGAGUUAGCAAUAACUCCUAGUGGCGAACGGGUGAGNNNNGCGUAGACAACCUGCCUCUAAAUUGGGGACAACACCGCGAAAGUGGUGCUAAUACCGAAUGUGGUAUCUUGGUCGCAUGACUAGGAUAAGAAAGGUGGCCUCUAUAUAUAAGCUACCGAUUAGAGAUGGGUCUGCGUCUGAUUAGCUAGUUGGUGAGGUAAUGGCUCACCAAGGCAACGAUCAGUAGCCGGUCUGAGAGGAUGAACGGCCACACUGGGACUGAGACACGGCCCAGACUCCUACGGGAGGCAGCAGUGGGGAAUCUUCCGCAAUGGACGAAAGUCUGACGGAGCAACGCCGCGUGAGUGAAGAAGGUCUUCGGAUUGUAAAGCUCUGUCGUUUGGGACGAACGUGGGAUGUGUGAAUAAUGCAUUCUAAUGACGGUACCAAAGGAGGAAGCCACGGCUAACUACGUGCCAGCAGCCGCGGUAAUACGUAGGUGGCAAGCGUUGUCCGGAAUUAUUGGGCGUAAAGGGCGUGUAGGUGGAUUUUUAAGUCGUGUGUCUAAGUGCGGGGCUCAACCCCGUAUAGGCGCAGGAAACUGGGAAUCUUGAGUGCAGGAGAGGAAAGUGGAAUUCCCAGUGUAGCGGUGAAAUGCGUAGAUAUUGGGAGGAACACCAGUGGCGAAGGCGACUUUCUGGACUGUGUCUGACACUGAGGCGCGAAAGCUAGGGGAGCGAACGGGAUUAGAUACCCCGGUAGUCCUAGCCGUAAACGAUGGGUACUAGG